Molecule: long non-coding RNA, 4821 nt
Filed under: Capsicum annuum
Lineage: Eukaryota; Viridiplantae; Streptophyta; Magnoliopsida; Solanales; Solanaceae
Description: long non-coding RNA (CANN_LNC011655)
Source: RNAcentral
UUUCCUCAUUCUCCUCAAGAAUUUUUACCAUCAUAAAUUAUUAAUAAAUAUUUAAACCCAUCUGAUCUCCUUCAACCACAUAUUAAAUAAUUCAUCUCUCUUCUUUCUUUUUCUCUGCUCUUUAGGGUAAUACCAAUCAUUUUUUUUCAUUAUGUUCCUUUUUCUCUCCUCUUUCACCUGAGGAUCCCUUUGGAUCUCAACCAAUCUAUAUCUUUUCACAACUGAAAUUGGUGUUUUGAUCCAUAUGCUUUUGACAUCCAGGUAUGGUUCACUAUUAGAUCUGCACUCUCUACUAUUAUUCUUGCCUUCUCAUCAUCUUCUUUGUUCGAUUCAUCAAAUUUAUCAUGUUUUUUAUAAUGAAAAUUGAAAUUGUGAAUAUCAUAAUUUUACACUGGCUAUUUAAAUUAGUUUUUUGCAUCUAUUUUUUUAUUUAUUUACCCAUUAUCUAUAUCCUAUUUAUUGAGAAAAUUAUAGAAAAUGUAUUUUUAGAGUCUUGAAUGAAUGAACCAUUGUUUUUAUUUAAAUUUCCAAAAAAGUCAUCUAAUGGGAGAACUUAAAAAAACUUGUUGGUUAUUUCUUAUUUGUUUCUUUCUUGCUGAUGUUGGUGGUGGUGUUGGUGUUACAAAUAUUAAAACUGAUGAAUCAGUAUCGGUCUCCAAGCAAAUUCCCCAUCUGUUGCAACUAAUGAAUCAGCUAUUGGAAUACCCUUCUAUUGUAACAAACAAUCCACCUUUUGGAAGAAAUCAAACCAUUAGCAAGGCUUCUUUGAUUUCAUCAACAGAUGAUCCACCUGUUGCAACUGAUGGGUCAGCUAUUGCAACAGAUAAGUCACCUCUUGCAACAUAUGGGUCACCGGUUGCAACAGAUGGGUUUUUUGUGUUAUCCCUUUGUUGAAUUUUGUCUUACCCCUAUUUUAAAACUAUGAGGCAUCAAUUGUAAUGUUAUUUUUUUCUCUUGUUUAUAGAUAAAAGAUGUCUCCCAAAAAAAAGUGAAAGUGGAUCAACUUUUGCCCGACUAACAUAAAAGGCUAGAGUAAAGAUGGGUUUGGAGGAAUAAGCUGCUUGCAGGUAGAACCACUUCAUAUGUGGGAGGUAUGUAUUGCUGAUCAUGUUAUCGUGAAAACACACAUAGAGUACACUAAUUUUGUGAAUGAAGUUUUUUUAUAGAUUAGGCAUUAAUCAUUCAAACAAGAUAUUGCAUUUUACAUUUAAGAUUGAUAGGUUUGAACUGAUGAUGCCGAGGGAUCAAGUAGGUGGUGUCGAUACCCUGUUAUGAUUGAAUGAUGUUUUUUCUAAUACUUAUGUUUUAAGUUAGGAGAAGGGACCAAGUUUUUGGUGGCAAUGUAAAGAUUUAAUAGUGAUUGGACUAACUUUAAGGGUACAAUGAACUUUUUAAAGGACUCUGAAGCCUCACACUACUCUAACCAAGAAUGGAAAUCAAUAUAGUUAUUUCCCUGGUCCAAAUUUAUAUGGAUGGGUUGCUUGGAGUGAUGCUUAUAUAUUAAAAGUUGCUUGGGAGAAUAUCUGCGAGGUAAACAAGAGGUGUUGAAGACCAUAUAUUAACUCAGACCUUAUUAAAGAAGAAACACAAGGUAGAAAGAAACGUGUAGCGAGUCUGGCCAAUAAAAUUGACUUAAAAAAUUAAAAAACCAAAUGAGCUGAAAAAAUGGAAGUGUAUCCAAAAAUGAAAAUUCAUCAGUAGAUUUUGAAAAGAAAAAUAGUAAAGUAGUCUGGAGCUGUGCACUUUGCUUGGGAAUUGCAACUAGCUACCUGAGUGAUGACCCACAAAGCGUAGGAUCAGAACUCUAAGGUUGCAGCUUUGCGACCAUAAAGGGUGGUAUGAUUAUCGAUAAGGAACAAAAUUUGAGACAACAACUCCUAAAGUAAAAUUAAGGGAUCAAGCCAAGGUGGCCAUUUCUGAAGUUAAACUUGCAACCCAGGCCUUCUGCUUGUGGUUUUGGUCAGGUCAAAGGUAGUGGAAACAAUAAGGCAUGUGAUUUCUGCCCAACUUUAGACCUUUUUGUUUCUAUUGCUAUUGACCUAAUCAAAACCACAAACAAAAUGCAAGGGAUGCAACUUAAACUUUAGAAAUUGAUACCUUUUCUUUCCUUAUUUUUACUUCAGAAGUUGUUGGUCUAAGUUUCAUUCUUGAUUGAAAAUCUUACCAAUCCUUGGUGCUCGCCAAACUGCUUCCUUAGAGUUCUGAUCCUGCUCUUUGUGGAUCCUUAUUCAGGCCAUGCUUGCUAGUUGCAGUUCCCUAGCAAAGUGUCCAGCUCCAGUCCACUUUACGAUUUUUCUUUUUAACAACAACUGACGGAUUUUAAUUUUUGGAUAUACUUUCACAUUUGCAGCUCAUUCAGUUUUUCCAUCUUUCAAGUCCAUUUCAUUGGCCAGAUUGGCUAGAAGUUCCUUACUUGUUGCCCUAUGUUUCCUCUUAAACAAGGUCUGAGAUGAUAUAUGGUCUUGUCUACCUCCCCUUUCCAGGUAUUCUCCCAAGUACCUUCUAUUUUAUAAUAGUCUCCUCGAGCAACCCAUUCAUAUAAAUUUGGACUAGGGGAAUUUUUAUUGGUUUUCCAUUCUUGUUUGCUACAGUGGGAGGCUUUGAAUGUCUUCUCAAAGUCCGUUGCACUAUUAAAGUUAGUCCAAUCACUAUUUAAUAUGUACAAUGCCAUCAAAUAUUGAUACCUUCUCAGAACUUGACACCAAAACAUGAGCAAAACCGUUAUUAAAUUAUAAUAGGGGAUCGACACCGCUUUCUUGGAACCCUUCGGUCUUAUCAGUUCGCAGCUAUCAAACUUAACUAUAAAAUACAUAAUCUUGUUUGAAGGAUCAAUGUUUAAGUGGUAAAAAAUUAUAUUCACACAAUCAUUGUACAUUAUAUAUGUUGUCACGAUAACCUGGUUAGUAAUACAUAACUCUCACACAUGAAAGUAGAUCCAUCCAUUUGCACGCACCUUAUUCUUCCUACCCCAUCAAUGUCAAAGGGUGUUUAAUCUUCAGUUUCAUUGUGAAGUAGUGUACAAAUCUACAGAGGCUCAACGCGUAACCAUCUUGAAUGUCAAACGACUACAUACCCAUCAAGAAAAAACAAGUGAUACGUAUGUAAUGCACGAUGAUCGUUCUAAUAGUAAACGCAUGUUGUUGUUUGACAUGGAUUUUGAUAAUUUUAACUAAUUCUUGGGGAAUAUUAUUUAUUAUAUCAAAAAAAAAAUUAAUAACUUGUGCAUUCAUAAAAAGUGAUAACCAAAUAGGAACUAAAUACGACAAACUACAAAAAAUAUAUUCAGUUGAUUGCCCAUGUGUUCACCAGACUGCAUUACAUUCAACUAAUAGAUGACCAAUAUAUCACAACAGAUAGGUUAUCUAUCGAAAAAACCCAAAACACCCUUCUUGCAAUAGAUGGAACAUCUGUUGCACAGAUCUACUGGAAGAAUACAAUGUAGUUUUUGCCACUGGUUUGUGUUCUUCUAACAGAUGAGAAAUCUGUUUCAAUAGAUGGUUCAUCUGUUGGAAAAACUAACUACAAAUGACUAUUAAUAAAAAAAAAAGGUUAUUAAAAGGGAAAGGGUGAAAAGUCAUGACUUUUUAAUUAUUUAAAAAAUAAAAAUGGCUCAUAAAUAAAUAAUAAGAAAAUAACUAAUAAACACAAUUUAAAAUAGUAAAAAAAUGGUUAUUUAUUUUUAAUUAACUAAUGUAAGGUGAAAAGUCGUGACUUUUAACCUUUUUGUUUUUAAAUCUAUUUUUUUAAUUUACAUAAUGAAGAAGUCACCAGUUUGAAUUAAUUAAGGUAUAUGGAGAUUGUUAAAAAAGAUGGGGCCCAACAAAUGGUCCAUCUAUUGCAUCAGAUAACCUGUCUGUCACAACAAAUGGAUCAUCUGUUGUAUAGAUAGAUCAUUUAUUGCACAGAUAGACCAUUCAUUGCAAAAGAUGAAAAAAUUCUUGCCACAGAUGGGUUAUCUGAUGCAACAGAUGGACCAUCUGUUGCCACAGUUCUAUAAAAAUAAAUAUUAUUAAAAGAAAAAGUUAUUAAAAAGGUGAGAAGUAUUGUAUUAUUUAAUUGAGAAGAACGGUUAUUUAAUUUUAAAAACUAAUUAAUAUUAAGAAGCUGAAGAGUCUUAACUUGUCACAAUAAUCAAAAAGUCACCAGCUUGAUUUAAUUAAGUCAUAACUUUUCACAGAAAAUUAAAAAUCACCAGUUUGAAUGUAAUUAAUAAAAUGGAGGUGAACAGUCGUGCCUUUUUUUCAAACACAUUCAAAUUCAAUCCUCUAUAAAUAGGUCUCUCCUUACUCGUUCAUUCUACUACACUUUAUUUAUUUCUUGCAUUUUGUCUUUCGUAUUACAUCUUCAAUCAUUUCUCUUAAAAUACUAAAUUCAUUUCUUGUUGAGGUAAGUUUUGUGUGUGUGUGUAAAUCUACCAGUUGGUAGUAUACAUUGUAUUACAUUCAGACUCUUUACUUUUGUGUUUACAUUUUUUAUCAACGCAUACGUGUUCUAUAUAUGGUUGAUCAUGUUUAUGACAUUGUUAUUCUGCGCGACAUCAUUCAGGAACUUUAGAGGCAAGUUAAUGACCUGCAGUGGGAGUUGGGCAUCGUGAGAGCAAGGAUGCUUCGAGAGAUUCGCAGGCAAAGGAGGGCCCUGCUGCUGUCAGUUAAUGAUUGGUCGGUUGAGAAUAAUAAUAAUAAUAAUAAUAAUAAUAAUAAUAAUUAAAUAAUAAUAAUAAUAAGGUUUUGUUUUUCUUUUAACAUAUGUAUUUUUAUUUUUCUAUAUCGAAUCUACCUACCUAAUGUAUUUUGUUUUUGUUUAAUGAAAAAUUUAUGUUUG